RNAcentral lists this long non-coding RNA (1944 nucleotides) under Theobroma cacao (cacao). RNAcentral's name for it is "long non-coding RNA (TCAC_LNC003542)". Lineage: Eukaryota; Viridiplantae; Streptophyta; Magnoliopsida; Malvales; Malvaceae. The record is from RNAcentral.
CAAGUGUGAAGCUUAGGAUAUUUUAUUAUUUAACUUAAAAAUCAGCAUAAAUCAGCCCAUUAUCCCUCCAAAAAUUUGGUCAAGCAAGGAAGAGAGGGAAAGAAAGGAAGAACAAACCCUAGGUGAAGAAUUUGAAGAGAAAAAAUGUGGAAAAUCAAGGAAAACAAGUGAAAAAGGUAAGAUUUUUCAACUUAAGCUCGAAAUCUAUUUUCCUUAAGCAUUUCUCCUUAUUUUUCAUGCUUAAAUUACAUGUUUUCAUGAUGAAUUCAUGGCUGAGCAAAAUGGGUAAGGAGAGAGAAAGAUGUUGAAUUGAUUUGAUUUUGAGAUAUGUUAGUGUUUUUAGUUAGUUUAGCAUAUUUAGAAACAAAACAACAAGAAAAGAAUUCAUUUUCUCCCACAACCAUCAAUAGCCGAAUUUACCAUGUGUUGAGUGAGGAUGAAUUUGAUUUUUAUUCUAGGAGAAUUGGUUAGAAAAUGAUGAAUUAUGGUGUGAAAAAGUAGUAGGAAAAAUCACGGUGUUAAUGCACCAUUAUUGGCCAAAAAUUUUAAGAAGAAAAGUAUAGACAGUUUUGCCAAAUUUUAGGUUAUUUGAUUUGAGUUUGGUGAAUUAAGAUAUUGGAAAAGAAUUGGAACAAUUUGGAGUAAUUUGGGAUUAAAUCGGACGCGUUAGUAAUUUAAUCGAGUGAUAGGACGAAUUAGGCCAAUACCGAAUUUAGAUAGUUAUCAGUGCAUUUUUGCAUUCCAUACCAUGCAUUAGUAGUCUAAAUUAGUUUAAUUUCAAUUUAGUACCAAUGUAGUAAGUUUCUCGAUUUUGUACUGUGUCAAGGUGGUGAGUCCUCCAAUAAAGGUAAAAAAAUUACACCCGAAGACCAGUAGUCUGAGUAUUUCGAGAAUCUGCACUCUAGACAUUGUGAGUAAACUUAUUGUCAUUUUAAUUAUCUAGGAUGGUUUUUAGAUGAUUUCAUGAAUUCUAUGGAAAAAGGAAUUUAAAAAGGUAAAUUUUCAUGUUUUAUGAAUAAAUAUGUUUCAAUGAAAUUAAUUUAUAAAUUGUUUUGAAAUUAAUAAUGAUGUUGAAAAAUAGAGUACACGGAGACUGUUAAUUGUUGGAAUUCGAUUGUUUAAAUUGAUUGGCUUAUGAUAAAUCGAGCAUGAUUGGCUAGCUGGCAAUUAUAUUGAAAUACGAAUUAUUUGUUUACCUUGAAAGACUGUGAAUAAAAUAAUUGUCAUGUCAUGCUAUUGUAAAUUUUAUUGAAUUGGUGGAUUAUAUAUUAAUUAAUCACUGCAAUAGGGGGUUUCUGUGGACCAGCCUUUUAGAGGGGUAACUAUCGAUCGGAGAGGCGCGUAGGGUAUCUCCUGGGGUAAAGUUUAAGGUUCACUUCACGCUAAACCACCACGUGAGGGUGAACUCAGCCAACGCCAAGGAACGGCUGUGAUGUCCAACGAAAAAUGUGUUUUAUGUGAAAUGUGAAUUUUUAACAGCCUUGGCGAUCUCGGUAGGAUGCCUCGGCCAAGGUGUCCCCGAGGAUGGAUUUAUGGCACAAGCCUAGUUUUUAUGAGAUUCAUAAGCCUCUUUACGUAUUUUGAAUGAAAUGUGUUCUAAUGUUGUGACCCAAUUUACGAUGAUUUAUUUUAUUGUCUCCAUGUACUCAACUCUAGAUGUUUAUGAUGAUGUCUGUUUACUCACUAAGAUUUUAUAAUCUCACCACCCUCCUUUCCAUCCAUUUCAAGCUCAGAUUAGACUGUAGAUAGCUGAUCUCAUCGAGGACUAUUGUGAGAUUUGCAUUCUCUAAACCAUAGGUUCACAGUCCUCUUUACUUUUAGUCAUUCAGGGGUCCACUGGUUAUUGUAAAUUAAAUAUCAUACUCUAGUUAUGUGUACUACUGUAUGUAGAAAUUUAUUUUGCUUUUACGCUGUAAAAAAAUUAUUUACGCAGUGUUUUAAAAA